RNAcentral lists this ribosomal RNA (416 nucleotides) under uncultured bacterium. RNAcentral's name for it is "partial 16S ribosomal RNA". It matches the Rfam family "Bacterial small subunit ribosomal RNA", at positions 355 to 762 of the family's 1533-position model. The record is from RNAcentral.
UGGGGAAUAUUGCACAAUGGGCGCAAGCCUGAUGCAGCCAUGCCGCGUGUGUGAAGAAGGCCUUCGGGUUGUAAAGCACUUUCAGCGAGGAGGAAGGUGGUGAACUUAAUACGUUCAUCAAUUGACGUUACUCGCAGAAGAAGCACCGGCUAACUCCGUGCCAGCAGCCGCGGUAAUACGGAGGGUGCAAGCGUUAAUCGGAAUUACUGGGCGUAAAGCGCACGCAGGCGGUUUGUUAAGUCAGAUGUGAAAUCCCCGGGCUCAACCUGGGAACUGCAUUUGAAACUGGCAAGCUAGAGUCUCGUAGAGGGGGGCUAGAAUUCCAGGUGUAGCGGUGAAAUGCGUAGAGAUCUGGAGGAAUACCGGUGGCGAAGGCGGCCCCCUGGANGAAGACUGACGCUCAGGUGCGAAAGCGU